GAACAUAUCGUCUAACGGAAGGACUCUAUUACUUCAUGAUAGCAGUGCAGGUUCGAAUCCUGCUAUGUUCC
Molecule: non-coding RNA, 71 nt
Organism: Chryseobacterium taiwanense
Lineage: Bacteria; Pseudomonadati; Bacteroidota; Flavobacteriia; Flavobacteriales; Weeksellaceae
Source: Rfam